CGAUGAUGAGGUGCCAUUUAAAUUGACGAGGAACCGCACUAAAAAAGGAACUCCAGAGGGCUUUGUAAGAAAUGAAUUGACAGAUUCAGAUGAAGAGAACAUCAGGGGUGUCAAGCUGCCCAAAUACCCCACUGCACCAAAAAAGCUGUGGUCCAUUCAAGCCUCUGAAGAUGAAGCCAGGUCUGUGGAGC
Molecule: long non-coding RNA, 191 nt
Organism: Polypterus senegalus (gray bichir)
Lineage: Eukaryota; Metazoa; Chordata; Cladistia; Polypteriformes; Polypteridae
Exons: 4
Source: RefSeq, a predicted model, not a curated record